Molecule: non-coding RNA, 107 nt
Filed under: Prodigiosinella confusarubida
Lineage: Bacteria; Pseudomonadati; Pseudomonadota; Gammaproteobacteria; Enterobacterales; Pectobacteriaceae
Description: Serratia sp. ATCC 39006 Yersinia sRNA 224
Rfam family: Yersinia sRNA 224
Source: Rfam by way of RNAcentral
AAGGUUGAUAACAACGUGCGCAUAGCGGCGAUAACAGGGAGAUCGUAAAGACGCUGUAAAUCCAUCCCUGUAAGCUUAAGCCGCGCCAUCCCUGGCGCGGAUGCUUU